UACGAAGGGUGCAAGCGUUACUCGGAAUUACUGGGCGUAAAGCGUGCGUAGGUGGUUUGUUAAGUCUGUUGUGAAAGCCCCGGGCUCAACCUGGGAACGGCAUUGGAAACUGGCUUACUAGAGUGCGGUAGAGGGGUGUGGAAUUCCCGGUGUAGCAGUGAAAUGCGUAGAUAUCGGGAGGAACAUCUGUGGCGAAGGCGACACCCUGGACCAGCACUGACACUGAGGCACGAAAGCGUGGGGAGCAAACAGG
Molecule: ribosomal RNA, 253 nt
Filed under: uncultured bacterium
Lineage: Bacteria
Description: partial 16S ribosomal RNA
Rfam family: Bacterial small subunit ribosomal RNA
Source: RNAcentral